Non-coding RNA from Mycobacterium kansasii, 69 nucleotides. Lineage: Bacteria; Bacillati; Actinomycetota; Actinomycetes; Mycobacteriales; Mycobacteriaceae. The record is from Rfam.
CUUCACCGACCCCAACCAGAGCGGCUCGCUACGCCCCUGCCCAUAGGUGGCCAACAACGCCUGCGCCUC